Molecule: ribosomal RNA, 396 nt
Filed under: Tinaminyssus minisetosum
Lineage: Eukaryota; Metazoa; Arthropoda; Arachnida; Mesostigmata; Rhinonyssidae
Description: partial 16S ribosomal RNA
Rfam family: Bacterial large subunit ribosomal RNA (bases 133-396)
Source: RNAcentral
UGGUAUUUUGACCAUGCUAAGGUAUUGAAAUAAGAUUUUAAUUGAGUGCUAAGAGAAUGGAUAAAUGAGGAAUAACUUUUUUAUUAUUAAAUUUAAAACUUUAAUAAAAGUUAAAAAUGACUUUAUAUUUUAGUGGGACGAAAAGACCCUAGAAUCUUUGGGUAUAUUUUAUAUAUUUUUAUAAAAUAUAUGUUUUGUUGGGGCGACAUAGAAAUAUUUAAAAACUUUCUAAAUAAUUAAUUAUAGUAAUUAGUAAAAAAGAUACUCUAGGGAUAACAGCGUUAUUAUUUUGGAUAGUUCUUAUUGAUAAAAUAGUUUGCGACCUCGAUGUUGAAUUAAUGAAUCUGCUAAGUGAAGAAGCUUAGAAAGAGAGAUUGCUCAUCUUUUAAAUCAUUA